ACUGCAAACUGGCCUUGUUGCGGGCCCCACGAAACCGGAGGCAACCUCUUUUCAUCCCCGUCGCCACGCCACGUCCGAAUUGGGCGUCCGAACCGAAACGCCAUCGAGCCUGACUCGCCUGAACCCAGCCCAAGCUAGGGUUUCCUCGCCGCGCCGGCGCAAGGCCACCACCCCCGUCCGACCGCCGCCGCCAUGUACAACGGCAUCGGGCUGCAGACCCCGCGGGGGUCCGGCACGAGCGGGCACGUCCAGGCGAGCAAGUUCCUCGCGAAGCCCCGGCCCUCUUCCUCCGCCGCCGCCGCGGCUGGCGGCUACGGGACCCCCAACCCUCCGCACACCGGCUCCGUCCUCGAGAGGACGCGGAAGCCCAACAAGGACAUCCUGGAGCACGACCGGAAGCGGCAGGUGGAGCUGCGGCUGCUCGUGCUGAGGGACGCGCUCGAGGAGCAUGGGUACACGGAGGCCCAGAUCGAGGAGCGCGUCGGGGAGGCGCGCAAGGCCGCCGAGAUCGAGGCGGCGGCGGAGGAAGGUGGGCCUCGUUCCCAGGGCAAAGGGUUCACAGACACUCAGAGCCACCAAGCUGCGGCACGGAAGGAGAACCAGCUUCAGACUAUGAGGGCUGCUCUUGGGCUAGAUGCAGAGGAUGCACAGAAGGAGCGCUGUAGAAAGUGAUGCGGAGCCUGGAGAUCUUGUUGAAAGGAAGCAGGGGAUGUCGAAACGACUCGCAGCAAGACCUGUAGGAAGGCUCAAGAGAGUUGGCUUAGCGGCGGCGAGUGGGCAAGCAGCAAACUGAGCGGAGCUCCCGGCGGCCGCGGCAAGCUCUGGAUGAGCAGCGAGCAGUCCAAGGUGAGGAUGUGGAGGCUGGAGGCUCCAUCUACUGCAAUGUGUGAGCAGUCCAAGUGCCUAAUGACGACCUGGCAAGCGAUUUGCCUCGAUCCUCCGCACAAGUCAAGAAACAAUGAGGUCCGAGUGGAUGUUUUUUUCUUGUGGAUUUCCUCUGGAAUCGAAUGCAAAGGAAAGUUUCCUCCAUUUUUCCUGUGAGCAAUUCCGGCGUACCAAAGGGCGCUACAGUGACUCAAUCCAUAUGAAUGGGAAUCCUACAUCUUUCCUAUGUUUUUCCUCCGUUCUAAAGGAGGCCUAAAUGUGAUGAAUUAUGAGAAGCCACCAAGGUUGUCAUAAAAUUGGGUGCCACAUGUUCAUUGGCUGUUAACAAUCUUAGCAGGGGUGUAGAAAUAGAGCAGCAUUGAAGCUUUUAGACCAGAUGACUCCGCUGAUCCCAGAAGAAGCUUUAUUAAUCUUAGACAAUUAUACCGAGGUGAAUAGGUGGUACAAUCACUAAGAUCACUCCCGGCCUCUGCUCCUGGAUGGAUAUAGAUAUUCAAUCUUUUAAGUUUUUAGCAGCUCGUGAGAGAGUAAGUCUGAUCUCAAAAUUCACAUUAUUUUAGCAGCUCAAUAAAUCUUCCAUUAUA
RNA transcript from Setaria italica (foxtail millet), 1469 nucleotides. It is a transcript of the gene named pre-mRNA-splicing factor CWC21, with no coding region annotated. The transcript is spliced from 4 exons. The record is from RefSeq and is a predicted model, not a curated record. NCBI's taxonomy places the organism in Eukaryota, Viridiplantae, Streptophyta, Magnoliopsida, Poales, Poaceae.